CAACUUUCAACAACGGAUCUCUCGGCUCUCACAUCGAUGAAGAACGCAGCGAAAUGCGAUAAGUAAUGUGAAUUGCAGAAUUCAGUGAAUCAUCGAAUCUUUGAACGCAAAUUGCGCCCUUUGGUAUUCCGAAGGGCAUGCCUGUUUGAGUGUCUU
RNAcentral lists this ribosomal RNA (156 nucleotides) under uncultured Basidiomycota. RNAcentral's name for it is "5.8S ribosomal RNA". It matches the Rfam family "5.8S ribosomal RNA". From Rfam's summary of the family: 5.8S ribosomal RNA (5.8S rRNA) is a component of the large subunit of the eukaryotic ribosome. It is transcribed by RNA polymerase I as part of the 45S precursor that also contains 18S and 28S rRNA. The record is from RNAcentral. Lineage: Eukaryota; Fungi; Basidiomycota.